RNAcentral lists this ribosomal RNA (174 nucleotides) under Triticum aestivum (bread wheat). RNAcentral describes it as "partial small subunit ribosomal RNA". Lineage: Eukaryota; Viridiplantae; Streptophyta; Magnoliopsida; Poales; Poaceae. The record is from RNAcentral.
AUGGCCACCCUCUCCAUGCUCACCUCUUGGACAAUCUGAAAUGAAAGAAACGCCCGCAUCUUCCAACUCAAGAGUGCCCCACCGACGAUUCUACUAGCUAACAUCAAGAUUGAGGCUCAUACUUGGGUCAUCGCGGGUGCAUAGAAAUUGGGAUCCAUCAUGCCACGAGAGUAG